Long non-coding RNA from Anopheles arabiensis, 1585 nucleotides. RefSeq lists it as uncharacterized. The record is from RefSeq and is a predicted model, not a curated record. The transcript has 3 exons. NCBI's taxonomy places the organism in Eukaryota, Metazoa, Arthropoda, Insecta, Diptera, Culicidae.
UUUCACGUUUUUAGCUACCCUGCCGAAAAUAGGUACACUGCCGAAAACUGGUACAGUUACCCUACCGCGCUGUAAAUAAACCAGUGACAGUUCGAACAUGCGACCUGGGCACUGUGGGCCGCUCCACACUGUUUGUGUCAGUUUCAAUUGGUGUUGUUUUCAUUUAUCGCGGUUUGUUUACAUUUCGUUGCGGUUAUCAUCAUAUUCCCGUGGUUCGAUAUUCGGUCGAGCUUUCUUUUCGUCAACCUCAUCGUGACGAUCGUGGUGCUCGGUGGACUGUUGGCAACGAUCGAAAAACAUCUCCCCACUGCCAUCCGGCAGACGUUCCGGGUAUGACAAGCAUGCACUGAAGGGAUCAUCGGACCGAUUGGUGUCCCUGCUGGAGAUCCUGAAGGCGUGGUUUAUACAUUUCUAUGUCUUUGCUGCCCUCUGGUCGGUGGCCGGAUUUGCCGUCAUGAUGUAGCCAGCGCGGGACUAUGUAAUCACCUUCCUCGAUACGUUGGCAACCAACAAGCGUAUGGUGCGCACCACGCCUACCGAGACGAUGGUUGCCAUGACGCUGAUCACGCUGCAGUGUUUGCGCCGGUUCUACGAGACCUGGUUCGUGCAGGUACUCUCGAGCAAGCUGAAAAUCACCCACCAGUGGUACGUGGAACACUUUCACAACUAUCCGAAGCAAAGGAAAGCACUCGUCCAGUUCGUUCUGUGAGAUCGACGGUGAGGGUGCGGAUAAUAUCGUUCCGGUUGUUGGGCUUUUUUUGUAGGAUCGAAAAAAUGGUAUGGUUGGUGUCCGGCUUUUUUUAGGUUGCUGGUUCCCGGCUGAUGGGAUUCAGCUGGUUUUCCUGGAUCGUCUGUGAAUGCCUUGUUCCACGGACCGGUCGUUGAUGCACUCGAGGUGCACCGCAUUGACGAGCGGCAGUAGCAGGAUGCAAUCGGCGCGGCCGAGCUGGCAGCGAAGCCGUUUCUCGGUGAGCCAUUCACGCCGAAUGAGGGCGGUCAAGAGCCGGCUGCAUACGUUCGAUUCGUUCGAUUCGAUAUUCGUUACGCGCACGAUCAAACUGUGUAACGAUGCCGAGUGUGUCCGGCCAUCGCGACUAGAAGCAUAGCGGAAGUUAAGUUGCGUCGUCUAUUGUGACACCUUUUCAUCAACAACUGGCAUGACUAUCGGCGCACGGUCGGUGGCUCUAGCGAAGGGGAGGGUGCGUUCCAAUCGGCUGGCAGGACACAGAUCGGAUCGGUUAGGACAGCGAUCGGCAUAGUACGGCUCGGGACCCGCUUGUGGCUAUUUGUUGACUAGUUGCCUCUUCAAGUGCAAAUCUACGACCAUGUUUAGAAGAUUUGGCUCUUUCGAUCGCAACUCUUUCGUUUGCCGAGUCGCUGGGGAUAUUGGAUUGUAAGGAAUGAAUAUACUGUACGCAGGAACCAGAUGAUGACAUCACCAAGGAGCUAAUGCGCUAAAGCUUAUCAGGAGGAGGCGAGAAUGGUUUGAUGGUUUUGGGCACAGCUCCCACGUACAGUAUCGGACAUUAAGAUAGAACCCUGGUGUUUUCAACGCACCGUGCACUUGUUUGCCACGUUUUGUGUG